This 253-nucleotide ribosomal RNA is filed under the name uncultured bacterium. RNAcentral describes it as "partial 16S ribosomal RNA". It matches the Rfam family "Bacterial small subunit ribosomal RNA", at positions 524 to 776 of the family's 1533-position model. The record is from RNAcentral.
UACGGAGGGUGCGAGCGUUGUCCGGAAUUAUUGGGCGUAAAGAGCUCGUAGGCGGUCCGUCACGUCGGGUGUGAAAAUCCAGGGCUCAACCCUGGACCUGCAUCCGAUACGGGCGGACUAGAGUUCGGUAGGGGAGACUGGAAUUCCUGGUGUAGCGGUGAAAUGCGCAGAUAUCAGGAGGAACACCGGUGGCGAAGGCGGGUCUCUGGGCCGAUACUGACGCUGAGGAGCGAAAGCGUGGGGAGCGAACAGG